Molecule: ribosomal RNA, 429 nt
Filed under: Triticum aestivum (bread wheat)
Lineage: Eukaryota; Viridiplantae; Streptophyta; Magnoliopsida; Poales; Poaceae
Description: partial small subunit ribosomal RNA
Source: RNAcentral
AUGAUUCUUGGUACCACAAUUCUUGAUGAACAUGUUGGUAAACAUGAUAGUGCUCAUAAUAAGGCUAGACAACACUAUGAGGCUUUCAAAAAUCAGUGGCAAAAUCUGCCACAUGUGUUUGAUCGAGGUACUCAGAAGGACGAAGAAGAAUACAAAGCUCGUCUCUUGAUUAUAUUGCGUGUUAUCAAAUUUUUGCUGCUACAAGGUCUAGCUUUUCGUGGACAUGAUGAGUCUACUAGCUCAAAGAAUAAGGGUAACUUUAAGGAAUUGUUGGGCUGGCUCAUAGAGAAAGACCGAGAGGCAUGCAAAUUGAUUGGGGAUGCAGGAGCGAACCAUAAGCUAAUUUCACCUGAGAUACAAUUGGACUUGUGCAAGGCGUGUGCAAAAGAGACCUCCAAAGCCAUUAUUGAUGAAAUUGGAGAUAGAUAA